ACAGCAGUAUGGCUUCAUGCAUUGUUUCAACACAGUCAAGAAAAGCCAGAUUUCUUCUGAAAUUUCUUCUGAAAAGCCAGCCAAUUUCUGAUGUCACAAAUAAAUAUAAAACUACAUGCAAGAGUGGAAGAAGGUGCGGAUGCUUGUCAUUGGAUUUAAGGCCCACCUGGAUAACCCAGCAUGAUUUCAUCUCAAGACACUUAAAUCAGUAUCAUCAGGGAAGACACCCUUUCUGAAAGGCCCUCCUAUUCACAAUUCACCAGCAGACUGCCUUGAAUUCACAACGUGCUGACUUUCCCUGGGAGGCACGAAGAACGUUCUCCAUGGACUCAUUACUUAGAAUGUCCUCCAAGCACGCUGUGGUGAAGGGGCAGUGUUCUGCCUUCUGUUUUGCAGGCGGUGAGGAGGAGGAUUCUGUGAAUAAACCGCAGAUGUACUGGCCCAGGGCAAUGAUUGCUUAACAACUCUGGUUUCUC
Molecule: long non-coding RNA, 476 nt
Organism: Manis pentadactyla (Chinese pangolin)
Lineage: Eukaryota; Metazoa; Chordata; Mammalia; Pholidota; Manidae
Exons: 3
Source: RefSeq, a predicted model, not a curated record